This 253-nucleotide ribosomal RNA is filed under the name uncultured bacterium. RNAcentral's name for it is "partial 16S ribosomal RNA". It matches the Rfam family "Bacterial small subunit ribosomal RNA", at positions 524 to 776 of the family's 1533-position model. The record is from RNAcentral.
UACGGGGGGGGCAAGCGUUGUUCGGAAUUACUGGGCGUAAAGGGUUCGUAGGUGGCCAACUAAGUCAGACGUGAAAUCCCUCAGCUUAACUGGGGAACUGCGUCUGAGACUGGAUGGCUUGAGUGCAGGAGAGGAACGCGGAAUUCCAGGUGUAGCGGUGAAAUGCGUAGAUAUCUGGAGGAACACCGGUGGCGAAGGCGGCGUUCUGGACAGUAACUGACGCUGAGGAGCGAAAGCGUGGGGAGCGAACAGG